Molecule: non-coding RNA, 21 nt
Organism: Caenorhabditis elegans
Lineage: Eukaryota; Metazoa; Nematoda; Chromadorea; Rhabditida; Rhabditidae
Source: Ensembl
UUGGGCAUCUGUAUUCAGAAC